GAACGGAAAGGCCCUGCUUGCAGGGUACUCGAGUGGCGAACGGGUGAGUAACACGUGGGUGAUCUGCCCUGCACUUCGGGAUAAGCUUGGGAAACUGGGUCUAAUACCGGAUAGGAACCAUCUUUAGUGUGGUGGUUGGAAAGUUUUUUCGGUGUAGGAUGAGCUCGCGGCCUAUCAGCUUGUUGGUGGGGUAAUGGCCUACCAAGGCGGCGACGGGUAGCCGGCCUGAGAGGGUGUACGGCCACAUUGGGACUGAGAUACGGCCCAGACUCCUACGGGAGGCAGCAGUGGGGAAUAUUGCACAAUGGGCGCAAGCCUGAUGCAGCGACGCCGCGUGGGGGAUGAAGGCCUUCGGGUUGUAAACUCCUUUCGCUAGGGACGAAGCUUUUUGUGACGGUACCUAGAUAAGAAGCACCGGCUAACUACGUGCCAGCAGCCGCGGUAAUACGUAGGGUGCGAGCGUUGUCCGGAAUUACUGGGCGUAAAGGGCUCGUAGGUGGUUUGUCGCGUCGUCUGUGAAAUUCUGGGGCUUAACUCCGGGCGUGCAGGCGAUACGGGCAUAACUUGAGUGCUGUAGGGGUAACUGGAAUUCCUGGUGUAGCGGUGAAAUGCGCAGAUAUCAGGAGGAACACCGAUGGCGAAGGCAGGUUACUGGGCAGUUACUGACGCUGAGGAG
This 676-nucleotide ribosomal RNA is filed under the name uncultured Actinomycetales bacterium. Its description in RNAcentral is "bacterial SSU rRNA". It matches the Rfam family "Bacterial small subunit ribosomal RNA", at positions 64 to 753 of the family's 1533-position model. The record is from RNAcentral. Lineage: Bacteria; Bacillati; Actinomycetota; Actinomycetes; Actinomycetales.